UGAUCUAGUCAAGUGGCUCUGAGCAGAC
RNAcentral lists this non-coding RNA (28 nucleotides) under Mus musculus (house mouse). Lineage: Eukaryota; Metazoa; Chordata; Mammalia; Rodentia; Muridae. The record is from RNAcentral.